RNAcentral lists this ribosomal RNA (253 nucleotides) under uncultured bacterium. Its description in RNAcentral is "partial 16S ribosomal RNA". It matches the Rfam family "Bacterial small subunit ribosomal RNA", at positions 524 to 776 of the family's 1533-position model. The record is from RNAcentral.
UACAGAGGUCCCAAGCGUUGUUCGGAUUCACUGGGCGUAAAGGGUGCGUAGGUGGUGAGGAAAGUCGGAUGUGAAAUCUCCGGGCUUAACCCGGAAACUGCAUUGGAAACUACCUUGCUAGAGGUUUUGAGGGGGGACUGGAAUUCUCGGUGUAGCAGUGAAAUGCGUAGAUAUCGAGAGGAACACCAGUGGCGAAGGCGAGUCCCUGGAAAACACCUGACACUGAGGCACGAAAGCUAGGGGAGCAAACGGG